GAGGUUCUCGACUACCUCCGCGUCGCUACCCCGCGUGCCCUCCCCACCUCGGUCACGGCUCUGCGCGGCCGGUCUGCGCAUAUGCCAGGUUGAGCUUCCUUCGGCCAGUUUCCUGGGGCUUCGAGAUGGGACGGGGUGGGGAUGGGGACCUGGGGCCCUGGCGGCUGCCGUUUCGGUCGCUGAGAGCCAGCCCUGCGGCCACAGUCCUUCCAACACGCUCGGCCUCCCCGCUUUCAGAGCACCCCCCUCCCCGGAUAAGACACCGACUCCGCCGGGGGGGCAGAUCCCCCGACCACUUUUUUCCCUCCUCUUCAGCGCCUUCCCCUUCCCAUCCCUGAGCCCGGCCUUCCUGGGUUUCCAGCCGGCCCCUCACCCUCAAAGCAGACGCGGGAUUGGAGGAGGGAGUUUGGCCAGGGAUGGGACUUAACAAACUCCUUGGGGACCUUGAUUCCCAGGGAAGAAUGGCAGUGACCCAGCACGGAUUGGGGACCCAGUCAGGCAGCCCAGAAAGAGGGAGAUUAUGCAAACAGAUGUAAAGACCCACUUAACAACAUGUGUGAACCUGUCUACAAGGCUGGGACGGGAUAUGAGGUGCGAAGAAUCCAGUUUCAACCGAGUGGUGUAUCAGAAAAAGAUGCCAUCUCAGUGUUGGUUUGUGUUUAUUUUCCGCUGACCCUAUGGGUGAAGAUAUCCUUGACCAUUACUGCAUCUGAAUAUGUUCCAGCUCAUCCGAUGUUACAUCACCAGGUUGAAAGCUAUGGAGAUCUCCACAAGGAUUUGGAGAAGAGUCCUAAUAGUUAUUAAAAUUCUGGACUAGAUCUACUAGGAAAGGUAGGUGGACUAUAAGGCACUUGCCCAACAAACUGCUCAAGAAAUUUUAGGUUACGAUCAAGAUACAUCAGGCUGGAAGGUGGUUAAGGCUUCAGUAAGAAAGCAAGUUAAAUAUGUUUCAAGAGUUUGUUUUUUAAUGAGAAACAAUUCAUUGCAAAGACAUUUUAAAAAAUAUUUUUUUUUACAAGCCAAAAAAAAGUUUUUACUUUUGCUUUAUUUUUUGUUUUUCAUUUUUUCUGUAUCUGACAGCUAAUUUAUUUGUGGAUUUUUAUUUCCCUUUGAGAAAAAGAUAACUGUUUACAGCAAGGCUUCUAAGAAAUUCCAUGGAAAUCUAUAUCGUGUUGAAGGAAUAAUUCCAGAAUCAACAUCUAAACUAUCUGAUUUCCUCCAGAAACCUGAAAACAGAGUCACAUGGGACAAAUCAUUUAAAGUGUACAACAUGCUACUAGUGGAUUUUCCAGCAUAUCCUUCAUCUUCAAAUUAUAUCCGUGGUUGUAACCAUGCUUGUGGCUAUAUAUGUUCACCUCUGCAAGAGAACCCAGCAUAUUCCAAACUAGUGAUGUUUGUCCAGACAGAAAUGAGAGGAAAAUUGGCCCCAUCGAUAAUUGAAGCAACAAUGCCU
Molecule: RNA transcript, 1453 nt
Organism: Balaenoptera musculus (blue whale)
Lineage: Eukaryota; Metazoa; Chordata; Mammalia; Artiodactyla; Balaenopteridae
Gene: STARD6
Gene name: StAR related lipid transfer domain containing 6
Exons: 6
Source: RefSeq, a predicted model, not a curated record